CUUGCGCAUGCGUACUGCCCAUAGCCGUUUCUGGAGCAGGUUAACUGACUUCUGUUUACUGUCAAGUGUUAAGGAUCGCUGCCUAGAACGUUUUCAGCCUCCGAGACUUCCUGCUGAAUGCACUCCUGCUUUCUAGUUCUUUCUGAUCGUUGGAUGGCUAUUCUGGCUCAGACUACUCUCCAAGCUGACUGAUUCAAUCUGGCUUCUCUUAGCUUCCGACUGAACUGCUCUGGUAGGCGUGGUAUUAAUUUAAGCAAUCUGUACUGAUCUCCUGGCUCCUCCUUGUUCUCUGACUCAUUCUGUCUUCACCUGUCUCUAUAAAACUUUCUCAGUAAAACUGCCUCUUUACCUCCUCUUGAGAGUUGGGCAUGUCCUAUCCUGUCAAAUCUUUUUUCUGAUUCGUCACUUUGCCUGACAUUCAAUUAGACAUCACUUUCAAACAUGGCUGCUUCCUUUCACCAACUAACUUUACCUUCGUUGUUUGAGAUUAAAGGUUUGUAUUUCGGGCUCGUCUGUAUUUCAGUCGGAGGGAUUAAAGGUGUGAAUUAAGGACUAAGCCACACCACAACUAAAAACAGUGUGAUCAAAUACCCAGCAGCAGGACACAUCACACCUUCACUGAAAGGACCAUCAAUGACAUUGGGAACAGUACCUUCUGGACAUGACAAGCUCCCUGCAUUCAUGAAAUCUCACUACCUCUGGUUACCUGUACAAGAAGCACACAGACGAAGCCAGUCAACAUUCCAGAAAGGAAGCAGGAGGAGCUCACAAGCCCCAGUUGGUAAAUGAGAAGUUACUUACAGUUGGUGUCUACUGGGUAGAGGGAGAAUGGGUUUACCUUAAGGGUAUGGCAAGUCAACCAUCUCCAGUGGAUGGCCUCACACCCAGGAAUGUAUGGGCAACACAAACUGGAUCAAAUUUUUUGAGGAAGGGGGCUAGUCAGAAACUUGGAAGAGGGUAGGGAUAGGUCUGGGAUGAGUUAGGGGAGAUGUGAGUGUGACCAGGAUACACUGUAUGUAUGGAGUGGUUCACUAAUUUAAAAAAAAAAAAGUCAAUUACCAAAUACCAAUUCUAACUUUCUGUGAGUCUUUGGAUACCAGACCUCGUCUUGCUGUUUCUUUCCAUUAGUAAGUGCCCAACUUCUGAGUAUUACUAUGAGACUCAAAUGGGUUAAUAAUGUGUGAUGAACACCAACAGCACGGGGCUCAACAUAUCACAACCCAUGUUAAUUGACAUGCUCUUCACCCACAGUGAUAGCAGCCAUAUUCAGGACUGGUAGACGGUUUGGGGAGGGAUGUGAGAUUAACUUUCUAGAACAAAAAUCCAUGGCAGAGGGCUGUGGGGACAGCUCAGUAGACCACUUGCCAUGCAAGCAUAAAUACCUGAGUUUGAUCUGCAAAACUCACGUAAAAAUCUGUAUGUGGUGGCUCACACUCAGACAACCACUGAGGAACAGGUGGGCAGAGCUCAGAGGCAGGCUGGCCAAGUCAGUCUUACCUAAUUGGUCGACUCCCAAGACACACACAGACCCUGUCUCAAAAAAUUAAGUUGACAAGGAUAGGCAGAUUCUGUGUACCUGAGGCCAGCCAGCCUGGUUUAUA
This 1601-nucleotide small RNA is filed under the name Rattus norvegicus (Norway rat). Its description in RNAcentral is "uncharacterized LOC108350353". Lineage: Eukaryota; Metazoa; Chordata; Mammalia; Rodentia; Muridae. The record is from RNAcentral.